CAGAAGGUGUGCUCAGGAAAACUAGGAAACGCGAGUUGUUAGCGGGGAGCAUGAGAAUUAAUUUUGUCCGCUUCUACUUACAGAGUCUCAAGUUGCUGAAAGCCACGGCGAGAGAAGAGCCCUCCGAGGCAAUUUAGGGCUAAAUGUCCUGCCCAAGGACACAUCGGCACGCAGACUAGGGGUGUCUGGGAUCGAACCGCUCCACCUCCUGAGCCGCAGCCAAAAAGAGUAAAGCAAAAAGCAAGCAAAAACUGUCAGCGGGUUGUUUGCUCUGUGUCGCUGGACCUUGGGAACAAGGGAACUGCAUCAUCUUAUAAAACAACCAGGCACCAGCAGUUACGACUCAGGUCAAAGUGCUGACUGGGGUUGAUUACAACGGCAUCACCCCGGUGUUCUCACCGCGGCCCGGCCUCAGCUGCAGCAUCGCACAAGGUCCGGCUAUUCCAGUCAUUAAAAUUAAAGCAACAGUAAAUUACAUCCUGAAGGGCUGCCAUAACUGCCGUACACAUUUCUUUUUCUUUUUUUCUUUUCUGUUUUUCAUACAGAGAUCCUGCCCCAUUAGUGUACCAUAUACAUCCAGCAUCUGGUUCCUAUUUGUGUUAUGUGGAGAAGAUGGUGAUUGUGGUUCUCGUCAGCCAAACGUCCCUUUUUUUUUCUGCCUUUGUGUCUGUAUAUCUGUGUGUGUGUGUGUGUGUG
Long non-coding RNA from Scophthalmus maximus (turbot), 696 nucleotides. RefSeq lists it as uncharacterized. The record is from RefSeq and is a predicted model, not a curated record. The transcript is spliced from 3 exons. Lineage: Eukaryota; Metazoa; Chordata; Actinopteri; Pleuronectiformes; Scophthalmidae.